GGAUUAGAUACCCUGGUAGUCCAUGCCGUAAACGAUGAAUACUAGGUGUGCGGGAGGUUGACUCCUGUGUGCCGCAGCUAACGCAUUAAGUAUUCCGCCUGGGGAGUACGGUCGCAAGACUAAAACUCAAAGGAAUUGACGGGGGCCCGCACAAGCGGUGGAGCAUGUGGUUUAAUUCGAUGCAACGCGAAGAACCUUACCUGGGUUUGACAUCCCGCGCUAUUUUGAGAAAUCAGGAGUUCCUUUCGGGGACGCGGUGACAGGUGCUGCAUGGCUGUCGUCAGCUCGUGCCG
Molecule: ribosomal RNA, 293 nt
Filed under: uncultured bacterium
Lineage: Bacteria
Description: partial 16S ribosomal RNA
Rfam family: Bacterial small subunit ribosomal RNA
Source: RNAcentral